AGAAUCAACGCUGGCGGCGUGCCUAACACAUGCAAGUCGAACGCGGUUACCCCGCAAGGGGUAACUGAGUGGCAAACGGGUGAGUAACGCGUGGGUGACCUACCUUCGAGUGGGGGAUAACGUUUCGAAAGGAACGCUAAUACCGCAUGACAUCCUGCCUUUGGACAGGCGGAGAUCAAAGCCGGGGAUCGUAAGACCUGGCGCUUAAAGAGGGGCCCGCGUCCGAUUAGCUAGUUGGUGGGGUAACGGCUCACCAAGGCGACGAUCGGUA
RNAcentral lists this ribosomal RNA (271 nucleotides) under uncultured bacterium. RNAcentral's name for it is "partial small subunit ribosomal RNA". It matches the Rfam family "Bacterial small subunit ribosomal RNA", at positions 26 to 285 of the family's 1533-position model. The record is from RNAcentral.